Molecule: ribosomal RNA, 406 nt
Filed under: uncultured bacterium
Lineage: Bacteria
Description: partial 16S ribosomal RNA
Source: RNAcentral
GUGUACAAGACCCGGGAACGUAUUCACCGCGACAUGCUGAUUCGCGAUUACUAGCGAUUCCAGCUUCAUGUAGUCGAGUUGCAGACUACAAUCCGAACUGAGACGUUAUUUUUGGGAUUUGCUCCGGAUCAUUUCUUCGCUUCCCUUUGUUUACGCCAUUGUAGCACGUGUGUAGCCCAGAUCAUAAGGGGCAUGAUGAUUUGACGUCAUCCCCACCUUCCUCCAGGUUAUCCCUGGCAGUCUCCCAAGAGUGCCCGGCUGAACCGCUGGCUACUUAGNAUAAGGGUUGCGCUCGUUGCGGGACUUAACCCAACAUGUGACGACGCGAGCUGACGACAACCAUGCACCACCUGUCUGGAGUGUCCCGAAGGAAUGGGAACGUUACUUGCCUGUCACUCCGAUGUCA